RNAcentral lists this ribosomal RNA (462 nucleotides) under Escherichia coli. RNAcentral's name for it is "bacterial SSU rRNA". It matches the Rfam family "Bacterial small subunit ribosomal RNA", at positions 109 to 569 of the family's 1533-position model. The record is from RNAcentral. Lineage: Bacteria; Pseudomonadati; Pseudomonadota; Gammaproteobacteria; Enterobacterales; Enterobacteriaceae.
AGUAUGUCUGGGAACUGCCUGAUGGAGGGGGAUAACUACUGGAAACGGUAGCUAAUACCGCAUAACGUCGCAAGACCAAAGAGGGGGACCUUCGGGCCUCUUGCCAUCGGAUGUGCCCAGAUGGGAUUAGCUUGUUGGUGGGGUAACGGCUCACCAAGGCGACGAUCCCUAGCUGGUCUGAGAGGAUGACCAGCCACACUGGAACUGAGACACGGUCCAGACUCCUACGGGAGGCAGCAGUGGGGAAUAUUGCACAAUGGGCGCAAGCCUGAUGCAGCCAUGCCGCGUGUAUGAAGAAGGCCUUCGGGUUGUAAAGUACUUUCAGCGGGGAGGAAGGGAGUAAAGUUAAUACCUUUGCUCAUUGACGUUACCCGCAGAAGAAGCACCGGCUAACUCCGUGCCAGCAGCCGCGGUAAUACGGAGGGUGCAAGCGUUAAUCGGAAUUACUGGGCGUAAAGCGCA